Non-coding RNA from Salmo salar (Atlantic salmon), 1163 nucleotides. Lineage: Eukaryota; Metazoa; Chordata; Actinopteri; Salmoniformes; Salmonidae. The record is from RefSeq and is a predicted model, not a curated record.
GUACUAAAAUAGUUUUUUUGGGGUAUCUACUUUACUAUUUAUAUUUGACAACUUUUACUUCACUAUAUUCCUAAAGAAAAUAAUGUACUUUUUACUCCUUACAUUUUCCCUGACACCCAAAACACUGUUACAUUAGCAGCAUUUAGGCUGUCCACUUUGAAGAGCUGAGACAGAAUGGCUCUAUAAGGAAUUGGAACAUAUAGGACCAAGCCCUGCUAUCAUUAUAAUCGAAUCAGAAGCAGAUAUGAGCGUUAUUCUCGGAACUAGAAGAUAAUGGUGAAGAACGGUCUAGGGAAGUUAUUUUCAUAUAGAGAGGAAGGGACUCUAUACGUUAAGCAAAGACAGAAUCCUAUAAAGAGAGGACUGUAAUAUGAGAAUUUAGUCUUUUUCAAUGGAAGGGCUCGGCCCUGUUGCGUGUGUAAUAGGGUCCUUCCAUGGAAGGGCUCGGCUUUGGCUACUCUGUAUUAAAGUCUAUAUUGAAUUCACAAAGUUCUUGCAAGAGUAUUAUGUUCUUAAGAAAAUUUUCCACGACAAUUGUUAUUCUGGAAAGGGUAACAUGCCAAAGCGUACAUUAAGCAGAGCGAACAAGCAGGAACAGCCAAGGCCAUGAGUACAUUUACAACAGCUAACAUUCCAAUGUCAGAACGACAUAGGAAGGGGCUGAAACCUGAACAUACAAUGCAUUUCUUUGUGUGUAACAUGAAGAGGUCCUGCCACCAUUAUAACCUAAAAAGGAAUCAAGAGAUGGGCGUUAUUGGGCGUGAACAAGCGUUAUUGGGCGUGAGGGAAGUAACUUUUACAUAUGGAAUGUACUCCCAUACUCUAUGUGUAUAAAAGCAGAGCCGAUGCUCAGGAAAGGCAGUUGAUCCAUCGACCGGCUCGGCUUUGCAACUCUGUAUUAAAGUCUAUAUUGAAUUCACAAAGUUCUUGCAAGAGUAUUAUAUUCUUAAGACAAUUUUCCACUACAUAUUUGGCGAGCUUGCCAGGAGAUCGAAGAGACCUCGGACAGUGUCGUUCUUGGCUGGUGACGGUUUCUCUGGACAAUCUCACAAACGGGUGGCCACCCAACUAUAAACAGAUUUUGUGUCCAACAGGUGAAUUACAGGAGAAGGUGAUUCACUCAAUCCAACCAGGAGACUGGGUGUGGAUCCAGUCCCUGAGGA